Long non-coding RNA from Monopterus albus (swamp eel), 610 nucleotides. RefSeq lists it as uncharacterized. NCBI's taxonomy places the organism in Eukaryota, Metazoa, Chordata, Actinopteri, Synbranchiformes, Synbranchidae. The transcript is spliced from 3 exons. The record is from RefSeq and is a predicted model, not a curated record.
GUAGGAUCUGCUGCGGCAGUGGGGGAACACUGCUGAGCUGUGCAGUUUAUGCUGCCAGCAAGCGUGCAAAGAAGAGGAGGGGGAGCAAGCGCGUACAGGAGGAGGAUGAGUGAGGGAGAGAGUGAGUGCAAACAAUGUCAUUCCGUUCAGGAGGCAAUGCUGCAGUCAACUUUGUCGCGCCAUGAAAGCACAUCACCAGCAACCAAGAGGCUCAGAGUGAGUGCAGAGAAGUUCUCCCUGUUAGUGAUGCGGACUCAUCUGUAGGAGCAGGCUCAUACACACAGUCCGGCUGUCGGUGGUGUGUUGGAACAUGCCUUGACUUGUUGUGCUGCCUUGGUGAAGCAGAGAGAGAAAGCGAGAAAGCCCCACACACAAAAGGAGGGACAGAGAGAGAGGAGGGUCAUGGUCAGCAGCUUACCAGUGUGAAGUGACCCACACAUUGCGAGAGGCCUGCAGCACCUACAGACAGACUCCUGCUGCACUCACUGGAGACAAGCGUGAAUGGAGGAGCUCCACUGCUGCCUGGCUGCUUGAGCUCCCAGCUGUUGGCGUAGGACCACACCACCCCCAUGGGCUUUUAGUGUGAGACUGUUGCCUUCCAACAACCACC